Molecule: non-coding RNA, 210 nt
Organism: Plutella xylostella (diamondback moth)
Lineage: Eukaryota; Metazoa; Arthropoda; Insecta; Lepidoptera; Plutellidae
Source: RefSeq, a predicted model, not a curated record
CAGGUGUCAUGCCGGGGACGGACGCUACUCCGCCGAGUUUUGGACCAGGAUUGACUGGAGUUCCUGUUGAUGAGAUGUGUGGUGAGAAGCAACUAGGGGUUGAGUUCCCGCACCUCCGCGACCCGUGCCUCGAGUGCAGCUGCAAUCUGUACGGGUCCUACAUCGCGCCAGUGUGCAAAAAGGCCAACAGACCAGAGUGUGAGUACUUUC